UACAGAGGCCUCGAGCGUUAGGCGGAAUCACUGGGCUUAAAGCGUGUGUAGGUGGAUGCCUAAGUACCUUGUGAAAUCCCACGGCUUAACCGUGGAAUUGCUUGGUAUACUGGGCGUCUUGAGCCACUCAGGGGCUACCGGAACAAACGGUGGAGCGGUGAAAUGCGUAGAUAUCGUUUGGAACGCCAAUGGUGAAAACAGGUAGCUGGGGGUGUGCUGACACUGAGACACGAAAGCCAGGGGAGCGAACGGG
RNAcentral lists this ribosomal RNA (253 nucleotides) under uncultured bacterium. RNAcentral describes it as "partial 16S ribosomal RNA". It matches the Rfam family "Bacterial small subunit ribosomal RNA", at positions 524 to 776 of the family's 1533-position model. The record is from RNAcentral.